Molecule: ribosomal RNA, 253 nt
Filed under: uncultured bacterium
Lineage: Bacteria
Description: partial 16S ribosomal RNA
Rfam family: Bacterial small subunit ribosomal RNA
Source: RNAcentral
UACGAAGGGUGCAAACGUUGCUCGGAAUCAUUGGGCGUAAAGCGCACGUAGGCGGCCUUGCAAGUCGGAUGUGAAAUCCCACGGCUCAACCGUGGACGUGCAUCCGAAACUGCUCGGCUCGAGUAUGGAAGAGGGUCGCGGAAUUCCCGGUGUAGAGGUGAAAUUCGUAGAUAUCGGGAGGAACACCAGUGGCGAAGGCGGCGACCUGGGCCAAUACUGACGCUGAGGUGCGAAAGCGUGGGGAGCAAACAGG